This 468-nucleotide ribosomal RNA is filed under the name uncultured bacterium. RNAcentral's name for it is "partial 16S ribosomal RNA". It matches the Rfam family "Bacterial small subunit ribosomal RNA", at positions 28 to 506 of the family's 1533-position model. The record is from RNAcentral.
GACGAACGCUGGCGGCGUGCUUAACACAUGCAAGUCGAACGGAAAGGCCCUGCUUGCAGGGUGCUCGAGUGGCGAACGGGUGAGUAACACGUGGGUGAUCUGCCCCUUACUUUGGGAUAAGCCUGGGAAACUGGGUCUAAUACUGGAUAGGACCAUGCUGUAGGUGGUGUGGUGGAAAGAUUAGUUUCGGUAAGGGAUGAGCUCGCGGCCUAUCAGCUUGUUGGUGGGGUAAUGGCCUACCAAGGCGUCGACGGGUAGCCGGCCUGAGAGGGUGGACGGCCACAUUGGGACUGAGAUACGGCCCAGACUCCUACGGGAGGCAGCAGUGGGGAAUAUUGCACAAUGGGCGCAAGCCUGAUGCAGCGACGCCGCGUGGGGGAUGACGGCCUUCGGGUUGUAAACUCCUUUCAGCCAUGACGAAGCCCUUGUGGUGACGGUAGUGGUAGAAGAAACACCGGCGAACUACGU